UGAUAGGCGGGCGGGAAUUCCCCGCAACCUCUAAUAGGUUUAGCCUUUCCGGCCUACUCUCCCUUCCCGGACAAAGGACCGAACCGCGGUCGUUUCCAUGGAGAUUGCGAACGCCUUCGCGUCACGUCCUCCUUUCCCAGAUCAGCGCUCGUUUGUGGACGAGAGUUUCGCGCGCUCCCUGAACGCUCCCCCCACCCCCCUGAGUGUCGGGGUUUUAAGGGCGCAGGCAGCCCUCCCCAAAGGCCACUGGGUGGGCAGGCGCGCUCGCUGCCGCCAUUUUGGCCGUGGAGGCGGCGAGACGGGAGGGAAGGAAGGAAGCGGCGCCGAGAAGUUUGUCCUUGCCACAGAAAGCCUGCGCUGCUUCCUCAGGGGACAUGGCGCGCGAGGCUGCUCAGUGCACGGUCAGAAACGCGGUCGCCGUGCAGGUGGACGGGCAAAUGUCCUGGCGACCCGGGGCGUCAGUGAUCGACGUGCUGCUGCCUCGCCGCCGGUCCUUCUUCUUACAGGAGAUUGUGUUCAGGAAUUAUUACACAGCUUUCUUGACUGUGCGGAUGCAGCAAAAAAACUUCACAAACAAGGGAAGCAAAAGCCGCUCCAGCUGGGUCACCUGCUUACGUAAUUAUUGCCUGAUGCCCAACCCACACACAGAGGAAGGCUCCCAGGAUUACUUCUGUUUCUCCAGGAAUCAGAUGCUCUGCAGUGUGGAUCGGGCGAUUGCCAUGCGGCUGAUUCUGCGCCAGCCUUCUCCAACAUGGGUGCGUUUCAGUAUUGAAGAGCUACAGCUCUGCCCUGGAGACCAAGAGAUCGCUAGCUGUGAUCCAUGGUUGCCAGGCCAACUCUCUGUCUUACCCACAUUGGAUGGCAUCAGCAAAGAUUUGCAGUGGCAUCAGGAACAUCAAGCAGCUAUAUCAGAGCACCCAGCAAUACCACUUCUAUGUAUUUCUGAUACUAAGAAAGACAAGAAAGCAGUUUGGAGAACUUGCAGAAAGGUUUCUCUGUCUGACUCCCACAUCCAUCAACCAAAGUCUGGCCAGGAAACCUUUGUUUGGUAAGUAGAGUCAGUAAAAGACGACACUGCAGCUUAGAAAAGAGGUCCCAAAAUAUCUGGACCCAGGGACAUAGCUGGAAAUCUAAGAAACUUGUGGGCACAAAAUGUUCAUUGUGUGGAAGAACAUGCAAUGCUCAGAAACUUCUCCCCCAGCAAUAGGCAAAAAGCCUACACAGUCUCCAGAUGAACAGAAGACCAAACAACAGGCAUCACAACAAAAAAUGUAAAAACCCCUCAUUUAAUAUAAGGGGGGCAUAGACACCAAAUUGGAGACCCUAGCUGUAGAAAGACUAGAAAAAACUAUGUGUGCCAUAUAGCUCAGCUGUUAGUCAGGACUUGACCAUUAUUGAUGGGCUGCAUGGUGUGCAGGCCUCUGAGUACUCUGCACUAAAAAAAAGUUCAGCAUCACAAGAAGGUAACUCUUUUAACCUGCAUAAAAUAUGUAUAUUUGCAUGAAAUUUUAUUUUUCAAAUGCUGCUUUAUAUUUUCUACUAUUUUGCAUAAUGUGUCCUGACUUUGUAAGUAGGCUAAGGAACCAUGCAAUCUACUAGAACCUUAACCUGUAGCUACUGGAAAUCUUGAGCUCUGAGAUUUUUGCAAGCAUUGCCCACACACUUUCAGAGUAUAUCUUCACAGUCAUAAGGGUUGGAAAUUUGCUCUUAUAAGAAAAAAAAACAUUCUCAGGAAGCUGAACACUGCAUCCCAUGUGCCAUGCUAUAUUCACACAGAAUCUUAGCAGUAAUGCGAGACGCAUCAACUGUUGGGGUGGUACCGUAGUUGAAGCAGGUAGGAGAUAAAUUGCUGCCCUUCUCAACAACAGUCUCUUCCUUUCAGGAAUUUCCCAAUGCUAACCAAGAGUUUUCAGAAGUCCAGUAAAUGUGGGUGCUAGCGGAGAUACUCCAAUCAGCCAGCAGUGCAGAUCAGGCAUUUCAAUGUGGAUGGCUGUUAUUAUAGUAGCCUCUUCUACACGUGAGUUUUCCAAGCACGAGAACAUGGCACAUUUCUUAGAAAUAGCACUGUUUUAUGUAGAUUGCUGCAAAGAUGCUACUAGAAAAAGAUGAGGAAUCCAUCAAUGUUGGUUUCCUUCCCCUUUUAGAGCUGCUAGAUGUGGCCUCAUCCAGUAGAUCUGGAGGACCUUGUCGUUUGAAAUGUUGUAUAAUUUAGUGCAAGAAAAGAAUGAGUUGUAUCUUACGGUAUGUUCCUUUCUGGGGUUUCAGUAGCUGUGCUCUUUCUGACUAGAUAUGCUUUUGCAGUUCCACAAAGUUCCUUACUACAGCAGAGAGAUGCGUCCAGCUUCACAGAAUAGGUCAUUAGCUGAUUUAUCCCACAUCUUCCAUCCUUUAGUCACAUCCUUUGUUCUUUUCUCCUUUUAAUUUGAAAGCACUUUCUCUUGGUGCAGCCACAAAAGUAGAAAGGAAUGUUAAUGGUGUGAAUUGCUAAAUAAAUGCAUUUAUUAAGCUUGUUUCCAGACUAACUUUUUUUAAAAAGUUUUUAAAUAAUAAUGGGAACUGCUCGAACAUAACUUCAGUUUAGUAAGGCUGUAUUGGCAGUUGAACAUGGACUAAAGAUUUACAUCAGGCACCCCCAAACUGCGGCCCUCCAGAUGUUUUGGCCUACAACUCCCAUGAUCCCUAGCUAGCAGGGCCAAUGGUCAGGGAAGAUGGGAAUUGUAGCUCAAAACAUCUGGAGGGCCGAAGUUUGGGGAAGCCUGAUUUACAUUAAGCAACUGACAUUUGUGAACCAUUUUUAACUCAGCUUUGUGUGAGAUGAGCCCCAUUAAAAUAGCAUUUUCCCCCAAGGGCAAAAGAACAAGUACUAGUGCCUAGAAGUAAUCUCCUUAAGUCUUACAA
Non-coding RNA from Zootoca vivipara (common lizard), 2898 nucleotides. NCBI's taxonomy places the organism in Eukaryota, Metazoa, Chordata, Lepidosauria, Squamata, Lacertidae. The record is from RefSeq and is a predicted model, not a curated record.